This 502-nucleotide ribosomal RNA is filed under the name uncultured bacterium. RNAcentral's name for it is "bacterial SSU rRNA". It matches the Rfam family "Bacterial small subunit ribosomal RNA", at positions 10 to 507 of the family's 1533-position model. The record is from RNAcentral.
AGUUUGAUCAUGGCUCAGAUUGAACGCUGGCGGCAGGCCUAACACAUGCAAGUCGAGCGGUAGAGAGAAGCUUGCUUCUCUUGAGAGCGGCGGACGGGUGAGUAAUGCCUAGGAAUCUGCCUGGUAGUGGGGGAUAACGUUCGGAAACGGACGCUAAUACCGCAUACGUCCUACGGGAGAAAGCAGGGGACCUUCGGGCCUUGCGCUAUCAGAUGAGCCUAGGUCGGAUUAGCUAGUUGGUGAGGUAAUGGCUCACCAAGGCGACGAUCCGUAACUGGUCUAAGAGGAUGAUCAGUCACACUGGAACUGAGACACGGUCCAGACUCCUACGGGAGGCAGCAGUGGGGAAUAUUGGACAAUGGGCGAAAGCCUGAUCCAGCCAUGCCGCGUGUGUGAAGAAGGUCUUCGGAUUGUAAAGCACUUUAAGUUGGGAGGAAGGGCAGUUACCUAAUACGUGAUUGUUUUGACGUUACCGACAGAAUAAGCACCGGCUAACUCUGUG